RNAcentral lists this ribosomal RNA (255 nucleotides) under uncultured bacterium. RNAcentral's name for it is "partial 16S ribosomal RNA". It matches the Rfam family "Bacterial small subunit ribosomal RNA", at positions 524 to 776 of the family's 1533-position model. The record is from RNAcentral.
UACAGAGGGUGCGAGCGUUGUCCGGAAUCACUGGGCGUAAAGGGCGCGUAGGCGGUCUCUUAAGCGUGUGGUGAAAAAUCCGGGGCUCAACCCCGGACUUGCAGUGGGUACGGGCAGACUAGAGUGUGGUAGGGGAGACUGGAAUUCCUGGUGUAGCGGUGGAAUGCGCAGAUAUCAGGAGGAACACCGGUGGCGAAGGCGGGUCUCUGGGGCAGUAACUGACGCUGAGGAGCGAAAGCGUGGGGAGCGAACAGG